UGAAGCAUCCGUGUUUUAUUGGCUGAUAGCCUCGCGUCACCAGGCUCUUCCGGUAUCUAAACCGUUGGCGCGCUGGAGGGAGACGUUUUAGCAACAACACGAAAGAUCAUGGAUAUAAGACGUUUUUUCAAAAACAAGGAGGCUGACUCGGCUGAGGCUCACGUCUCCGGGGAGCCGUUACCAGAAACAGCAGAUUCAAAGGAUGGAAGGAAUGAGCAGAUGGAGAAAAAAGAGCAGCAGAGACAGAGGUGCAACACAACACAGUAGGGGUGGAAGGAAAAAUAAAAUACCAAAAAUUAAACUGA
Molecule: non-coding RNA, 305 nt
Organism: Epinephelus lanceolatus (giant grouper)
Lineage: Eukaryota; Metazoa; Chordata; Actinopteri; Perciformes; Serranidae
Source: RefSeq, a predicted model, not a curated record